This 377-nucleotide unclassified non-coding RNA is filed under the name uncultured Solirubrobacteraceae bacterium. RNAcentral describes it as "contains 16S-23S intergenic spacer region". The record is from RNAcentral. Lineage: Bacteria; Bacillati; Actinomycetota; Thermoleophilia; Solirubrobacterales; Solirubrobacteraceae.
UCCGGUUUGUCACCGGCAGUCUCGCAUGAGUCCCCAACUAAAUGCUGGCAACAUGCGACGGGGGUUGCGCUCGUUGCGGGACUUAACCCAACAUCUCACGACACGGGCUGACGACAGCCAUGCACCACCUGUGAUCCUGCCCCGAAGGGAAGCCAUGUUUCCAUGGCGGUCAGGAACAUGUCAAGCCCAGGUAAGGUUCUUCGCGUUGCGUCGAAUUAAACCACAUGCUCCGCUGCUUGUGCGGGCCCCCGUCAAUUCCUUUGAGUUUUAGCCUUGCGGCCGUACUCCCCAGGCGGGGCACUUAAUGCGUUAGCUACGGCGCGGAAAACGUGGAAUGUCCCCAACAUCCAGUUCGCAUCGUUUAGGGCGUGGACUAC